GGAGGGGGCUAGCGUUGUUCGGAAUUACUGGGCGUAAAGCGCGCGUAGGCGGACCUGCAAGUCGGGGGUGAAAGCCCGAGGCUCAACCUCGGAACUGCCUUCGAUACUGCGGGUCUCGAGUCCGGGAGAGGUGAGUGGAAUUCCUAGUGUAGAGGUGAAAUUCGUAGAUAUUAGGAAGAACACCAGUGGCGAAGGCGGCUCACUGGCCCGGUACUGACGCUGAGGCGCGAAAGCGUGGGGAGCAAACAGGAUUAGAUACCCUGGUAGUCCACGCCGUAAACUAUGGGUGCUAGCCGUCGGUCGGCAUGCCGGUCGGUGGCGCAGCCAACGCAUUAAGCACCCCGCCUGGGGAGUACGGUCGCAAGAUUAAA
Molecule: ribosomal RNA, 371 nt
Filed under: uncultured bacterium
Lineage: Bacteria
Description: bacterial SSU rRNA
Rfam family: Bacterial small subunit ribosomal RNA
Source: RNAcentral